Molecule: ribosomal RNA, 469 nt
Filed under: uncultured bacterium
Lineage: Bacteria
Description: bacterial SSU rRNA
Rfam family: Bacterial small subunit ribosomal RNA
Source: RNAcentral
AUUGAACGCUGGCGGCAUGCCCUACACAUGCAAGUCGAACGGCAGCACGGGAGCAAUCCUGGUGGCGAGUGGCGAACGGGUGAGUAAUGUAUCGGAACGUGCCUUGUCGUGGGGGAUAACGGUAGCGAAAGCUACGCUAAUACCGCAUACCAUCUAAGGAUGAAAAGCGGGGGAUCGCAAGACCUCGCGCGACAAGAGUGGCCGAUAUCAGAUUAGGUUGUUGGUGGGUAAAGGCCUACCAAGCCGACGAUCUGUAGCUGGUCUGAGAGGACGACCAGCCACACUGGGACUGAGACACGGCCCAGACUCCUACGGGAGGCAGCAGUGGGGAAUUUUGGACAAUGGGCGAAAGCCUGAUCCAGCAAUGCCGCGUGCAGGAUGAAGGCCUUCGGUUGUAAACUGCUUUGUACUAGAACGAAACAAGUCUACUCCUAAUACGGGGGCGAAUGACGGUACUCGUAAGAAUAAG